RNAcentral lists this unclassified non-coding RNA (1935 nucleotides) under Hevea brasiliensis (rubber tree). Lineage: Eukaryota; Viridiplantae; Streptophyta; Magnoliopsida; Malpighiales; Euphorbiaceae. The record is from RNAcentral.
UUUCAGGUCCACUUCCGAUUUAUCAUUUUUGUUCGGUUUUAGUCUCUCUGUUGCUUUCUUUGUACGCGUAAUAAACACGUAUCCAGUGAAAUGACGCUUUUAACAUUUUAGUAUCUGCCAAUUUAGUUUGAUUCAUUGACUUCCGUUUCUAUUUUCCAUUUUGUGAAUUGAUUUUCUAUUUUAUGUGGACUGAUCAUGAAAUUUUAAUUUCUUACGAUUUCUCAGCAACCAAGCAGAUUUUUUCCCUCUUAAAAACACACCUACAAAAAACAAAAAAUCCGUGGAAGUUGCUUGUUAGCUGUGAGAGAUAUACAUAAAAGCUCCGAUUUUUCCUCAAAAUAUCCUUUUUUUUUUAAAUUUUCAACAUUUAUUUGUAUUUGAUUUUCUGGGGAAUUAACGUGGGCUUUUAUUGAUCGACAAUGGCCACUGGAACGGAACUCGAGAAACCUGAACCUGUCCCUACAGGAUUGAAGUCAGAGCCCCUGACAAAAUUGGCUGGGCAUGAUGUGGCUUCUGGAAAAGAUGGAAUGCCUUCUGACUUAACCUCAUCCAAUUGCUCUUCAGGGGAUGCUACCUCUAAUACCAAAGGUGAAGGGGAUGGUAAUUCUGGCAGCAAAGGGGAGGCUGAUCAAGAAUCAGUUGAAGAGCGCAGUGUUCAGAAUCCACCUACCAAUAGUUACAAUUAUUACUACCCAGGUGGAAUAUUGAGACAAUUAUAUGCUCUUAUAUUAUAUAUGAUAUCUAGGAAUUUUUACAAAGUCAAUUCAAUGGAAGGUCAUAAUCUUAAUUAAAGUACUCAAAUGAUAGGUGAUCAGUGAAGUUGAGAUGUGUACUAAUUUACUCAAUGUAUUGCAUAAAAUGACAUUAAUCAGCUUCAUGAUUAAGUAUUGGUUUUUUGCUUCACUUCCAUACAGGCAGAAUGAUUUUCAGGCUAAUGGUGUGAUUAUGUGAAAAGGGAAAAGACUAUUUACUUUAGCAUGUUUUCAAUCAUGAUAACUAUGAAAGGCCUUAAUGUCAUAUUCAAUGCUUGAUUAUAACUAGAUUACUAGAAUGGCUGAAUUUCUAGUGUUACAGGCACUAUUGUUUUUAUUUUUAGUUUUUGAGACAGUUGUAACUCAUGCACAAUCUUUAGAUGCGCUGGGUACCAUGAGAGUAGUUAAGUUGCUUUUUUGUUGGACCGCUACUUAGGACUUGAGGUGCUCUUAUAUUUUCUGCAAGAGCUUUUGAGAUCUGCUAAAAAAUUCUUGCAGGACUUGGCACACCUAAUGGUGGAGGAUGUUCUUAUGUGUACUCUAGAUUUAAUGAGUUCAUGUGACUAGGUGGUGGAUGAGAUGAUGGCAAUAGUGAGGUGGCCUAGAUUGCAAAAUGCAAUUAUAAAUACUCUUAAGAAGGCUAUACUGCCAUGGAAUGACCAAUGUCUUUGAGGAUAUAGCGUACCCUUCACACAAUUGGAUGAUCAUGGUUAUUUUCAAGCAGAUGGAUCUCAUAUGGUAUGUUCUUCUGACGUAUACUUAUAUUUCUAUUUGCAAAAAUUAGGCAAAACUAUGUCUCGUUCUGCUUGGCUGAUAAGGGUAGUUUUGUAUAAUUGUGUCUUGUUGAUAAUUGAUACUAGUGUAUCGGUUGAUCACAUCAGGGAUGCAAUCAGACAAUGGAUAACUAGUCUAUUAUUUACCUGGCCAUAAUCCAUAUGCUUCUGGGGCAGUGGUUGGGGUAGAUGGGCAAAGUGUUGGUCAACAAGCAUAUUUUUCUUCACCUGGAUACCUUCCACAUCCUGUUUUCUAUGGAUCAGAAGCCAUGCCUUGCUAUUCAUGGGAUUCAGCAUAUUUUAGUGAUGUCUCAAAUGGCAAUACUGGUUCUCAAAAUGGAAAAUAUGGAUCAGCUUCGACUUUUGCCAUGUCCAGUGGUUUUAACUCUAUGAAGUCUAAUGACAGUACU